This 69-nucleotide transfer RNA is filed under the name Mycobacterium sp. ACS1612. RNAcentral's name for it is "tRNA-OTHER". The record is from RNAcentral. Lineage: Bacteria; Bacillati; Actinomycetota; Actinomycetes; Mycobacteriales; Mycobacteriaceae.
GGAAUCUUGUCACUGGCUAAACCGCCUCACACGCGGAAGGUCACUGGUUCGAUCCAGUCGGGACCACCA